Non-coding RNA from Pangasianodon gigas (Mekong giant catfish), 71 nucleotides. The record is from the annotation of a GenBank genome assembly. Lineage: Eukaryota; Metazoa; Chordata; Actinopteri; Siluriformes; Pangasiidae.
GCUGGAUAAUGCAGUGGUAGUGUUGUUGCCCUUCAAACAACAGAUCGGGGGUUCGAAUCCCCGUCAGGGCA